This 3339-nucleotide long non-coding RNA is filed under the name Taeniopygia guttata (zebra finch). Its description in RNAcentral is "lncRNA (ENSTGUG00000027445.1)". Lineage: Eukaryota; Metazoa; Chordata; Aves; Passeriformes; Estrildidae. The record is from RNAcentral.
AGUUCAAAAAUUAGGUAACUUUAUUUGACACUUUUAGAAAUUUUUUACAGUUUUAAACUAAAACAGACUAAAGAAAUUCCAGUGUUUUUAAAAAGCAAAAUAGAAGGAAAAAACUAAACACCUACAAUUUGACUAGCUGACCAGUCAAUGUCAAGUUUGCUUUCUUUCCUUGUAGCUCUGUAUGCCUGAAAGAGCAUUCCUUAUUCCAUAGAAAAUCACUCUGGAAAACCCUUGGGAUAUUUCUCAUCUCUUUGUCUUAAGAUUCUACCAUCCUUGUUAAUUUUGAAAUUGUUUUUUUCCCAUCUGUGUUACAUCACAGAAGGAAAGCUAAUCUACAUCUGGUCACUGGAAAUCAAAUGUAUUAUAAUGUAUUUACAUAUUAAAAAAAAAAAAAUAUAUAUAAUGAUGUGCUGUGCAAUUGGAUAGAAGGCUGUAAUUCAGCCAGAGGGAGGGCUGGUAUCAAAACCAUAAAGAUCCACACAGACACAGGGUGGGAAAAGGCCACCCAGACUGAACUGAAAAUCUGAUGCUUGUACUAUGGCAAGACCUACAGUUUUGGAAAAUCAGAAAUAUUUGCCAAAAAUGUUUUUUACUACUUAGGAACAAACUUGCUUUGUCCCUUGGUUUUCGCAAUGGCUCUCUCCUAGUGUCAGCACAGGAAGGGAUUCAUAAGGUGACACACUUAGUACUUCAUACUACUUGCAAACAAUAAUAACAGAAAAAAAUAUUUUGUACCACAGAUAGAAGAUAUUGUAUCAUAGACAAAAGACACAGAAUUACUGCUUUAUCUACCCUUGCAGAUAUGCAAUAUGCACAAUUUUGCAAGCCAUCAAGUAGUAGCCUGAGUGAGGGAAAGGGACCCUCUUCCCAUGGGGAAUCAACAGCCCCACAAUCAGCUACAACUGUGGGACUGAGCCACGUGGUGUAUGCCAUUGACAGAGUGACUGAUGAGGUAAAGGAAAUACAAGAUAGGAACCAGGGACCUGGGGAAGGACAUUGAUUUUAUCAGCCUCACUAACUAUAUCCUUACAGAGAACGGAAUUACUCAUUCAUUAUGUCCCAUCUGCACUUCAUUUCCAUACCUUGUUUGUUUGGAAUCUUUUUUGCAGGAAAAAUACUCCAAGUAAGUUUUCAUACCAGUCUCCUACACUGACCAACUUCCUUAGCCAUUCUUUUUAUGGGGGCAGGGGGUGUUUUUUAGAGUGGGUUUUUUUCUAAUUUUACAAAAAAAAAAAUUAUUAAGGGGACAAGCUGCAUAGAUCUUAAAACAGGAAAAACAUGUAACACGUUGGAUCAAGGGAAAAUCUUUCCUUCAGUACCUGAAAUUAGCUUAAAGUUUAUUCUUCAUGCAUACAUAUAUAGAGGUAAACAAAAGCAUUUGCAAGUUUUUGCAAAAUUGCUAAAAUUUGCAAAAUUGCUAAAAUGAACAAUCUUUUAGGUUGCACUCUUCAUAUACUAUCCUACAUACUACUACUUGAACACCAUUACAAAGUCCUUCCACAAAGACAGCAGACAUUUAAGACUAAUCAUGUUAUCUCCAAGAACCAUCUUCCUCUCUAAAAGCAGCUACUGUCAAGCAUCCAAAUGGGUCUUUGCUCAUAAAUCAUCUUUAUACUGCUUGAAAUUUUUGCUUCCAGCCUCCCAACAAUCCACACCCAGAGAAUUUCUGAUUCAAUUUUAGUAAAGUAACACUAGCAGGGGUCACAGGGGGCCUCUGACUUGCUGGCAGGCUAUUAGACCCCAGUUCCUCCAGCCUUUAAAGAACAUGGCCAGCAGUGAACAGAGCAUCUACAGGCAGGGCUGUAAAUUCAGAUUUUUUUAGGUUUUGCUUUUCUGUGUUGCUAGGCUGAAAGUAGCAGCGCUCAUAGCUCCAGUGGCACCUUUAGGCUCAAGGUUUUGUGUGUUCAGCCCGCGAGGAAGGCAGCAUGUGGGGCGGGUGGUCAGUUCCAUUUCUGCCUUUCAUACAGCACCAGGGUGCUCUGUGACACACAGAUUCCUUCUUGCUCUCCCACAACCAGUGCUGGCUGUGGGACUCUCUGUGAGAGUUUGACAGUCAAAAGGUCGCCGGAGGAGACAAGUGGCAAAGUAUGAGUUGAAGACAAACUGGUGACAUGCUCACCCCAGCAAAGGCACAGCAUGGCACGCACUGGCCAGCACAGCAGUUUCCCACACAGGCUUGUCGCCAACUUAGGAUCUGCUGUAACAUCUUUGAUAAACAUUUUUUGCAGUCUCCACUACUGAUUAUGAAAAAAGUAGAUUAUGACCCAAACCAAAUUAAACUAUGCCACUGUGGGUUGUGUUUUUGUCAAACUAAACCUGAACUACUAUUUUGAAGUUUUUGUUCAACAUCAAUCAGAACAACUUCAGUCAGAGCAGAACAAUAAAAUUCUCUUCUGGUUCCUUGCUGGGGAAUGAUGUGAAGGACUGUGCUUCUCCUCAAACAGCACCAAGCUUCCCACCAUCCCAGUGUUCAAGGGUUGGAUCCACAGUGGCAGGUUUGUGGCAAUUUCCUGACUACAGACAUAUGCUUCAGAAGAAAAUAGCUAUUUCUAUCCAUUCCAAACCUCUGGCUCAAGGAAGAAGUUACUGUACUGGAAACAUCAGACAGGAUUCUUGCGCCAACCCCAUUCCAGGGUCGGGUUCUGGGAAACCUUGCCGGCUUCAGUGCACUGACUGAAAGGGUGCUGCUGCUCAUGCCAAGUGCCACAUUCUCAGAGCUGGGGAUCUUUCAGCAGCACUUGACUAUGAGGUGUUGGCUGUCUGCUACUGCAGGGUUCCUACCAGCCCAAGCCACCGAUUUUUUUAGGAGUGAUGACAGAAUACUGUAAUCACAAAAUGGUUUGGGUUGGAAGGGACCUUUAAGAUCAUCUCAUUCCAGCCCCUGCCAUGGGCAGGGAUGCCAUCCACUAGUUUUAGGUUGCUCAGGACUACAUCCAGCUUAGCUUUGAACUUCCAGGGAUGGGGCAUGAGCUGGUGAUGAGCUGGUUUACUUUGAAACCAUGUCGCCGCAUAUUUUCAGCUGACCAAUAUUUACAUGAAACACUCAAAGUCAGUGCACAACAUACAGUGCAUGUCUGUCAGCAGGAAGCAGUUCUUAAGCAAAAAAAAAUCUAGCUAGCAUAUAAUCUCAGAAUUUCUCAGAGACAAGCACCUGGAUGAAGUUUGCCAUCUGGAGCUGAACUUGCAUGCUGACAUGCAGAAAAUUAUUAUGAGAAAAACGUAACACAACCUUCACCUAAGGAAGGUAGCUCCAAAUAAUCAUAGCAGCCUGUGUACCUGUAACCCCUGGCUGCUGGACUCACCAACAGCUUCUGGGAAACAGAACCAAGCCUGAGCCCC